Molecule: ribosomal RNA, 510 nt
Filed under: uncultured bacterium
Lineage: Bacteria
Description: partial 16S ribosomal RNA
Rfam family: Bacterial small subunit ribosomal RNA
Source: RNAcentral
UGGGGAAUAUUGGACAAUGGGGGCAACCCUGAUCCAGCCAUGCCGCGUGUGUGAAGAAGGCCUUUUGGUUGUAAAGCACUUUAAGCAGGGAGGAGGGGCUAAUGGUUAAUACCCAUUAGAUUAGACGUUACCUGCAGAAUAAGCACCGGCUAACUCUGUGCCAGCAGCCGCGGUAAUACAGAGGGUGCGAGCGUUAAUCGGAAUUACUGGGCGUAAAGCGAGUGUAGGUGGCUCAUUAAGUCACAUGUGAAAUCCCCGGGCUUAACCUGGGAACUGCAUGUGAUACUGGUGGUGCUAGAAUAUGUGAGAGGGAAGUAGAAUUCCCAGGUGUAGCGGUGAAAUGCGUAGAGAUCUGGAGGAAUACCGAUGGCGAAGGCAGCUUCCUGGCAUAAUAUUGACACUGAGAUUCGAAAGCGUGGGUAGCAAAACAGGAUUAGAUACCCUGGUAGUCCACGCCGUAAAACGAUGUCUACUAGCCGUUGGGGUCCUUGAGACUUUAGUGGCGCAGUU